RNAcentral lists this transfer RNA (74 nucleotides) under Candidatus Saccharimonadota bacterium. Its description in RNAcentral is "tRNA-Gly". It matches the Rfam family "tRNA". Rfam says of the family: Transfer RNA (tRNA) molecules are approximately 80 nucleotides in length. Lineage: Bacteria; Candidatus Saccharimonadota. The record is from RNAcentral.
GCGGGUAUAGUUUAGUGGUAGAAUGCGACCUUCCCAAGGUUGAGAUACGGGUUCAAUUCCCGUUACCCGCUCCA